UUCCUUCUGCUUACUUUGGGUUUAAUUUGCUCUUUUAUUUUUUCCUAACUUCUUAAGGUGCAAGCUUAAAGUGUUGCUGUUAGACCUUUCUUCUCUUGUAAUUUACCAAGUGAGGAGUGUUGAAAUAUCCAACUAUAAUUUGUGGAUUUCUCCUUUCAAUACUAUCAUUUUUGGUGCUUCAUGUAUUUUUGAAGCUCUAUUUUUAGCGGAGACCUGAAAGCAGCUUAACCAUGAGCAGCACUCAACUAAGCAAAGAAAUUCUUCGCAAUAAAUAGGGAUGUUUGAAAGGUUUUACGUUGGACCCGCCUUACCGUAGACAGACACUAGAGGGUGCUCCUCGCUCAGAAAGCCGCGUGUUUCCAGGCCUGGGACCUCUGCCAGAAAGCGCUUGGACUGCUGGUCCUGAAACUUCCUCUUUGGGUCUGGUAAUUUACUGGGGAGAAGUAUCUGCUCCCUUGGUUCUGAAACUAAAGGCUUUUACGGAAGGAGGAGGAGACUGCAAGCGGCUACAUGGAGCAGAAAUGUGGCUCCUCCAAACUUUCACCAAUUGGAGUUCUGCUGGACUGCGACUUGGAGAAUACGAGCAGUGUCUCAUUCACCCAGGAGUCCCAGGGUCUAGCACACAUAGUGUCUGGCAGAUAGUAAGCGCUUUGUAAAUAUUUAUGGAAUGGGACCAACCAAUGGGGGUGUCUGAGACCUAAAUAAUUACAAUUCCAAAUUGGGGAGUGCUGGCACGAUGACCACACAGUAUUAAGGGCGCUCCCAGAAGAAUGGGGGCUGGGGAGGACUGGCCAGAAGGGCUUCCUGAAAUUCAGGAGCCCUGGCACUCUCUGGAGUACACAGAAAAGAUCUUCCACAUCUGGCUUUUGGAUAUUUAAAAACAGCUUCAUGCUCCAUUUCUUCCAUGUCCUUCCUGUGGAAUGAUUUCUAGGCUUUUCACUAAGUUGAUUGCUCCCUGCAGACUUACAGGAAGGCAAAUAAUAGUUUAGCACCUACUGGGUUCAAGCAUCUCCUAUGAUCUCCAUUAUCUGAUUUAAUUGUGUCUUUAUCUCAUUUAAUCCCUGCAACAACUCUCUGAGACUAAGGUUAUUAUCCACAUUCUACAGAUUAGAACUUGGCAAGGUUUGAUAACGGGCCCAAGAUCACACCAUCAGGGACCGACAGGACCAGUAUUUGAACCCAGAUAGUCUAGUAGCAAAAGAUGCUUUUAAAAAUUUUCACUUAAAAGAAUAACAACAACAGCAACUAACAGUAUGGAGGGGGCCAGAUACUUUUCUGUGUUUUACAUUUAUUAACUCAUUUAAGUUGUUUAAUUGCUAUACACUUAGAUGUCAUCCUUUCUAUUAGUACAUUGUUAGUACUGAAAAGUGAAGAGAAUGAUUAACAAACACCCAUGUACUCAUCACCUGCCAUAAAAAAAGAUUAAAGUUGAUAUUAUCCAGCCGCAAAAAUAUUGAAAAAGAACAAGGUUGGAGAACUUGGCCCA
Molecule: long non-coding RNA, 1486 nt
Organism: Piliocolobus tephrosceles (Ugandan red Colobus)
Lineage: Eukaryota; Metazoa; Chordata; Mammalia; Primates; Cercopithecidae
Exons: 3
Source: RefSeq, a predicted model, not a curated record